AUGAACGCUGGCGGCGUGCCUAAUACAUGCAAGUCGAGCGAACGGACGAGAAGCUUGCUUCUCUGAUGUUAGCGGCGGACGGGUGAGUAACACGUGGAUAACCUACCUAUAAGACUGGGAUAACUUCGGGAAACCGGAGCUAAUACCGGAUAAUAUUUUGAACCGCAUGGUUCAAAAGUGAAAGACGGUCUUGCUGUCACUUAUAGAUGGAUCCGCGUUGCAUUAGCUAGUUGGUAAGGUAACGGCUUACCAAGGCAACGAUGCAUAGCCGACCUGAGAGGGUGAUCGGCCACACUGGAACUGAGACACGGUCCAGACUCCUACGGGAGGCAGCAGUAGGGAAUCUUCCGCAAUGGGCGAAAGCCUGACGGAGCAACGCCGCGUGAGUGAUGAAGGUCUUCGGAUCGUAAAACUCUGUUAUUAGGGAAGAACAUAUGUGUAAGUAACUGUGCACAUCUUGACGGUACCUAAUCAGAAAGCCACGGCUAACUACGUG
Molecule: ribosomal RNA, 496 nt
Filed under: uncultured bacterium
Lineage: Bacteria
Description: partial 16S ribosomal RNA
Rfam family: Bacterial small subunit ribosomal RNA
Source: RNAcentral